This 503-nucleotide ribosomal RNA is filed under the name uncultured bacterium. Its description in RNAcentral is "partial 16S ribosomal RNA". It matches the Rfam family "Bacterial small subunit ribosomal RNA", at positions 30 to 523 of the family's 1533-position model. The record is from RNAcentral.
AUUGAACGCUGGCGGCAGGCUUAACACAUGCAAGUCGAGCGGGGUGAUGGUGCUUGCACUAUCACUUAGCGGCGGACGGGUGAGUAAUGCUUAGGAAUCUGCCUAUUAGUGGGGGACAACAUCUCGAAAGGGAUGCUAAUACCGCAUACGUCCUACGGGAGAAAGCAGGGGAUCACUUGUGACCUUGCGCUAAUAGAUGAGCCUAAGUCGGAUUAGCUAGUUGGUGGGGUAAAGGCCUACCAAGGCGACGAUCUGUAGCGGGUCUGAGAGGAUGAUCCGCCACACUGGAACUGAGACACGGCCCAGACUCCUACGGGAGGCAGCAGUGGGGAAUAUUGGACAAUGGGGGGAACCCUGAUCCAGCCAUGCCGCGUGUGUGAAGAAGGCCUUAUGGUUGUAAAGCACUUUAAGCGAGGAGGAGGCUCUUUUGGUUAAUACCCAAGAUGAGUGGAUGUUACUCGCAGAAUAAGCACCGGCUAACUCUGUGCCAGCAGCCGCAGUAA